Long non-coding RNA from Alligator sinensis (Chinese alligator), 696 nucleotides. RefSeq lists it as uncharacterized. The transcript is spliced from 3 exons. NCBI's taxonomy places the organism in Eukaryota, Metazoa, Chordata, Crocodylia, Alligatoridae. The record is from RefSeq and is a predicted model, not a curated record.
CAGCAGCCAGAGAGGAAGGAGCUCCCCGAGCAAUGAUGCGAGAACCUCAGCUUCUGGAAGAGUCCCACUCAGCUAGGGGAAACAUUAUUACAAAUUGUGUUGUAACUGUCACAUCCUGAUACAGCUAUACUGUGAAGCCUUUACUCAUGUAGCCUGAAACACUUGGUGCAACAAGGCAUCCAGUCAAACCAAACCAUCCAAAAUUUGUGUUUGGGCUGCAAGGAAUUCAGGACUAAACUGCACUUGAUGACCAUUCUGCCCAGGCCAUUUGGGCACACCAGCAGCUAGUUUCAGUUAUUACAAUCGUUCUCUGCAGUACCUAAUAUCACUGUGGGUUUCAGCUAGAGAUGACAUUAACAAAAACUGGUAUUGACCAGGAGAAAACAUAGGACAUUAAUUUUAUGGAAUUGUAAGUGCUUAUGAUGGAGUGACACCCUUACACAACCAUGAAGGGGAAAAAACUACCUGACUGACUAGACACUCAGUCACCUGGAGAAAGAAAGGAGGGACUUCCCUUCCUGCAAAGGAUUAUGGGCAGAGAUGCUCCCUAUAAAACCCUUGAUUCCAAGAGCAUUGGAUUAUUGGAAGUGGUUAAGGAAAUGAGCCUGUUAUAAAACCCUGGGGGUACUUUUGUUAGGAAAAGUGAUUGAUGGUGUAGAAAGGCAUGUUAUGUGGAUUUUAAUAUUAUUGAGUGUG